Long non-coding RNA from Lagopus muta (rock ptarmigan), 1223 nucleotides. RefSeq lists it as uncharacterized. The transcript is spliced from 3 exons. Lineage: Eukaryota; Metazoa; Chordata; Aves; Galliformes; Phasianidae. The record is from RefSeq and is a predicted model, not a curated record.
GCUCAUCUAGCCAGGCUGCAUGCUGCUUCUAAAUUUGGGUCUGCCUGUUGUCUUGUCCUGCUGCCCUGUGUCCUGUUCCCUCUGGUUCCACAGCUACAGGGGAAGACAAUUGAAUGCCUGCAAUGGCUUGGUCUUUACUCUGGUUUUGAAGAUGCUGCAGUUUAAUGUUUAUGACUGCAUGAAUCAACAAGAUAGAUAAAUAUUUUUCUACCAUGAUGGGAUGAGAGAAAGAUGGAAAGAACAACAUGUGACAGAUGCAAGUUCACUUCAUGUGUUACCGGGAGGAUUCAUAUUCUUCAGUCAGAAAAGCAGGCCAAGAGGACGCAGUGAUGGAAGUGGACCCUUGACCUCCAUGCACAAGACAAGACCAGCACCAGCCUCCUGCAGAGCAGUACUCUCCUUUUCCUUCACUCAACACCAUCAGGAACAGAGGCAGCUUCUUGGAAAGAGUGGGUGCUGCUUUUGCUACUUUGAAUACCCUGUGUCCACGAUGAUGAGCCUUUUCAUGUCACAGAUUCAUUUUCUCUACUUAGUUUCAAAAACCAUUUAAGAUCUGUAUGCAAAUUGAAAGUCACAACAUUUUUGAAAGAAAGUGCUAAAAAUAAAAUGCAAAUAUACCUCAGUACUAUCUGUAACUUGGAAAGAAAGAAGAGAGCAGCUCCUACUGGUUGAAAUGAGUGUAGAACAAAGCACAGACAAAGCUUUGUCUGCCACAUGGCUCCCAGAAAUCAGUCAAUGCAAUAGAUGAGAGAGAGAGCGACAGAUAUUAAACAGGGCAUUCUGGGUUUAGUUACAGAAGCUUCAUAGGUGAGGGAACUUAUGGACUAUGAAGCCAAAUGACAGUGUACAUAUGCUCAUCUGGUCUCCUUUAUAGAAGCUAGGCUGCAGUAGCAAAGAAUACAGCAACCUGGAGUACUUUGGAGAGGUUUUUUUUGUUUGUUUUUAAACUGUAAUUUAAGUUUUGUUAGCUUUUUAAAAUUAUCAUUAAUGAUAUUAAAAAAGUAAUAGAUACGUGUAACUCCAAAUGGCAACAAAGGAGUAGGGAUUCUAUCUGGCAUGCAGACAGUUAGCAACAAUAGUUUAUAAAUUAUGAAGUUGAGGGUGUCUUACAAGGACGUUACUGAAAUUACAGCCACAGGUUUUCAGCAAAUUGAAAGACACAAAUAACUUCAGAAGAAAGGAAUGUACAUCAUCAGCAGCAGAAAAUAAUUCAGUGUGCAAAC